GGUAGGAUGGCUGAGAAAGGUGGUAAAUUGUAAAUUUAUUUAUGAGGUAAAGGAUCUCUCCUAUCA
This 66-nucleotide transfer RNA is filed under the name Hemigyrus spinosus spinosus. RNAcentral describes it as "tRNA-Tyr". It matches the Rfam family "tRNA". From Rfam's summary of the family: Transfer RNA (tRNA) molecules are approximately 80 nucleotides in length. Their secondary structure includes four short double-helical elements and three loops (D, anti-codon, and T loops). Further hydrogen bonds mediate the characteristic L-shaped molecular structure. tRNAs have two regions of fundamental functional importance: the anti-codon, which is responsible for specific mRNA codon recognition, and the 3' end, to which the tRNAs corresponding amino acid is attached (by aminoacyl-tRNA synthetases). tRNAs cope with the degeneracy of the genetic code in two manners: having more than one tRNA (with a specific anti-codon) for a particular amino acid; and 'wobble' base-pairing, i.e. permitting non-standard base-pairing at the 3rd anti-codon position. Lineage: Eukaryota; Metazoa; Arthropoda; Insecta; Orthoptera; Tettigoniidae. The record is from RNAcentral.